RNAcentral lists this ribosomal RNA (468 nucleotides) under uncultured bacterium. RNAcentral's name for it is "partial 16S ribosomal RNA". It matches the Rfam family "Bacterial small subunit ribosomal RNA", at positions 28 to 507 of the family's 1533-position model. The record is from RNAcentral.
GACGAACGCUGGCGGCGUGCUUAACACAUGCAAGUCGAACGGAAAGGCCCUGCUUUUGUGGGUUGCCCGAUUGGGAAAGGGGUAAGUAACACGGGAGAAACCGGCCUUGGUCUUGGGGUUAACUUCAGAAAAUGGGGGUUAAUACCGGAUAGUAAUUCCGCCGGCUGGGUGGGGGUUGGAAGGUUCGGGGGGUGGGGAUGGGAUUCGCGGUUUAUCGGCUGGUUGGGGGGCGGGGGGUUUACCAAGGCUUUGCCGGGUAGCCGGCCUGCGAGGGUGACCAGCCACAUUGGGACUGAGAUACGGCCCAGACUCCUACGGGAGGCAGCAGUGGGGAAUAUUGCACAAUGGGCGGAAGCCUGAUGCAGCAACGCCGCGUGCGGGAUGACGGCCUUCGGGUUGUAAACCGCUUUCGCCUGUGACGAAGCGUGAGUGACGGUAAUGGGUAAAGAAGCACCGGCUAACUACGUG